GUCAUAGGAGCAGCUGUGAGUCACAGACAGAGAUACUGCAGCUUUGUGUGCGAGUAACCACGCAACGGCGCACCUAUUGGAUUGGGUGGGGUGGGGGGGUGUAGAUAGAGGGAGGGAGGGUGAGAGGGUGAGGAAGAGAGAGAGGAGGAGAAAAAGACAGACAGACAGACAGACUGACUGAGUGAGUGAUUAACAGUGAGCAGAGGUCAGGGUGGAGGGGGGAGGGGGGGCGAGUGUCUUUAUCAGAAGACAGAAAGCAUAGCUGCGUCACGUGACUCCACUAAUGAAGUAAUAGGAGCAGCUGUGAGUCACAGACAGAUCCUGCAGCGUGUGUGCGAGUAACCACGGCAACGGCGCACCUGUGCUCAUUAACGAGCUGCUGCAAAGGGCAGAGACAGGGCACGCGUUACACAGAAUCCACACCUCAAACAAAUGACAACCAGCGCAAAACUAUAAAAGCUAUCUAAAAAAUACGACGUUUUUACGAGACCCAAGACUCUACUGAACACAGGGAGGGUUUUUUGUAUGUCUGUCUGGUAAUAAAUAAGGCAGUUUACAAAACGUGUACCUUCUGGAUUUUUUGAAAAAUAUGUCGCCAGAUUUGUAUUGGAGCCUAUGGGGCUUUUAGCAGAGGUUGUGUGACUGUUGGUCUCCGUAGUCCAAAACUAAAGAACUCUGGGAUUCCAUAGUGUAGGAUAUUAGAAAUAAAUUGACGAUCCGGUUCAUAAAAUUAAUAAAAAUGCAUAUAGUGUACACCAGAAUACAGCCAUGAUUCUGAAAUUGUGUAAUCAAUAAAGUAAUGACAAUAUUGUCAAACCACUGUAAUUCUGCAACUGUAAUAGAACAAUACCAAUGCAGUUAUGAUUGUAUUUGAUGUAAUGUAAUCAACUGGAAUGCAUGCAUGUAAUACUUGAACAACAACUGAUAUUGACUAAGGGCCAUUCGAAAUCCGAGUUACAUUGAACUCACCAGAAGACUCCCAGAGGUGUGGACACUGACUUUUACACCUUUAAGCAUUGUUAUAAAUACCUGUAGGAACCAUUGUUCUCGAGUUCACUGGUGGAGGCGACAGACGGGCUCUAGGGAUGGUCAAAAGGACUGACCUGGGGCCUGUUGGUGGCUGAGACCAGCGGCUCCUCAGCUGAGAUGUUCUUUUUACCAAAACACCAUCACUUUUAUUAAAUACAUUUUUACUUACA
Long non-coding RNA from Gasterosteus aculeatus aculeatus (three-spined stickleback), 1199 nucleotides. The record is from Ensembl. Lineage: Eukaryota; Metazoa; Chordata; Actinopteri; Perciformes; Gasterosteidae.